Molecule: ribosomal RNA, 1640 nt
Filed under: Salmonella enterica
Lineage: Bacteria; Pseudomonadati; Pseudomonadota; Gammaproteobacteria; Enterobacterales; Enterobacteriaceae
Description: partial 23S ribosomal RNA
Rfam family: Bacterial large subunit ribosomal RNA
Source: RNAcentral
GCUAAACCAUGCACCGAAGCUGCGGCAGCGACGCUGAUGCGUUGUUGGGUAGGGGAGCGUUCUGUAAGCCUGCGAAGGUGGCCUGUGAGGGUUGCUGGAGGUAUCAGAAGUGCGAAUGCUGACAUAAGUAACGAUAAAGCGGGUGAAAAGCCCGCUCGCCGGAAGACCAAGGGUUCCUGUCCAACGUUAAUCGGGGCAGGGUGAGUCGACCCCUAAGGCGAGGCCGAAAGGCGUAGUCGAUGGGAAACGGGUUAAUAUUCCCGUACUUGGUGUUACUGCGAAGGGGGGACGGAGAAGGCUAUGUUGGCCGGGCGACGGUUGUCCCGGUUUAAGCGUGUAGGUGUGUGUUCCAGGUAAAUCCGGUUCACUUUAACACUGAGGCGUGAUGACGAGGCACUACGGUGCUGAAGCAACAAAUGCCCUGCUUCCAGGAAAAGCCUCUAAGCAUCAGGUAACAUCAAAUCGUACCCCAAACCGACACAGGUGGUCAGGUAGAGAAUACCAAGGCGCUUGAGAGAACUCGGGUGAAGGAACUAGGCAAAAUGGUGCCGUAACUUCGGGAGAAGGCACGCUGACACGUAGGUGAAGUGAUUUACUCAUGGAGCUGAAGUCAGUCGAAGAUACCAGCUGGCUGCAACUGUUUAUUAAAAACACAGCACUGUGCAAACACGAAAGUGGACGUAUACGGUGUGACGCCUGCCCGGUGCCGGAAGGUUAAUUGAUGGGGUCAGCGCAAGCGAAGCUCCUGAUCGAAGCCCCGGUAAACGGCGGCCGUAACUAUAACGGUCCUAAGGUAGCGAAAUUCCUUGUCGGGUAAGUUCCGACCUGCACGAAUGGCGUAAUGAUGGCCAGGCUGUCUCCACCCGAGACUCAGUGAAAUUGAACUCGCUGUGAAGAUGCAGUGUACCCGCGGCAAGACGGAAAGACCCCGUGAACCUUUACUAUAGCUUGACACUGAACAUUGAGCCUUGAUGUGUAGGAUAGGUGGGAGGCUUUGAAGUGUGGACGCCAGUCUGCAUGGAGCCGACCUUGAAAUACCACCCUUUAAUGUUUGAUGUUCUAACGUGGACCCGUGAUCCGGGUUGCGGACAGUGUCUGGUGGGUAGUUUGACUGGGGCGGUCUCCUCCUAAAGAGUAACGGAGGAGCACGAAGGUUGGCUAAUCCUGGUCGGACAUCAGGAGGUUAGUGCAAUGGCAUAAGCCAGCUUGACUGCGAGCGUGACGGCGCGAGCAGGUGCGAAAGCAGGUCAUAGUGAUCCGGUGGUUCUGAAUGGAAGGGCCAUCGCUCAACGGAUAAAAGGUACUCCGGGGAUAACAGGCUGAUACCGCCCAAGAGUUCAUAUCGACGGCGGUGUUUGGCACCUCGAUGUCGGCUCAUCACAUCCUGGGGCUGAAGUAGGUCCCAAGGGUAUGGCUGUUCGCCAUUUAAAGUGGUACGCGAGCUGGGUUUAGAACGUCGUGAGACAGUUCGGUCCCUAUCUGCCGUGGGCGCUGGAGAACUGAGGGGGGCUGCUCCUAGUACGAGAGGACCGGAGUGGACGCAUCACUGGUGUUCGGGUUGUCAUGCCAAUGGCACUGCCCGGUAGCUAAAUGCGGAAGAGAUAAGUGCUGAAAGCAUCUAAGCACGAAACUUGCCCCGA